GGGUUUUUAUUUCAUCAAUGUUGUUCUAUUCCUUAGUUUUGAGAAUAUAUACACAAAUUUUCUUUGGUUUGACAUUUGCCAUAAAUAGGUGCUUGGGAAUCGAGAGAGGAACUCUGAAUUUGGGAAAGACAGUCAAAACAGAUGAAUAAGAACAAGUCUCUCUUUUGAACUAUAAGUUGAGUCAGAGUAUUUCUUUUACUUGAUCAAAUAAGUCUCUCCAGGAAUUGCCAAAAAAUAAACGUAAUGGCUCUAAGCUUUAGGAUUUUCUAUUGAAAGCCUAUGAUAUUUGUUGUAUUAUAAGUCUGGAAUGUAUUGAACAUUGUGUUCUAAUAUAAGUAUGUCACGGAAUCUCUGUUUUUCUGCACAAAGUUCAUUUCAGUUAAUUUGAGUCCCAGAAAAUUGUGUUCU
Molecule: non-coding RNA, 408 nt
Organism: Prunus avium (sweet cherry)
Lineage: Eukaryota; Viridiplantae; Streptophyta; Magnoliopsida; Rosales; Rosaceae
Source: RefSeq, a predicted model, not a curated record